Molecule: ribosomal RNA, 253 nt
Filed under: uncultured bacterium
Lineage: Bacteria
Description: partial 16S ribosomal RNA
Rfam family: Bacterial small subunit ribosomal RNA
Source: RNAcentral
UACGGGUGAGGCAAGCGUUGUUCGGAAUCACUGGGCUUAAAGCGCGUGUAGGCGGCUUGGUAAGUAUCUUGUGAAAUCCCUUUUCUCAAUGAAGGAACUGCGAGGUAUACUGCCGGGCUUGAGGUAGGUAGGGGUGCCUGGAACUCUAGGUGGAGCGGUGAAAUGCGUAGAUAUCUAGAGGAACGCCCGUGGCGAAAGCGGGGCACUGGGCCUUACCUGACGCUGAGACGCGAAAGCGUGGGUAGCAAACGGG